This 497-nucleotide ribosomal RNA is filed under the name uncultured bacterium. RNAcentral's name for it is "partial 16S ribosomal RNA". It matches the Rfam family "Bacterial small subunit ribosomal RNA", at positions 28 to 507 of the family's 1533-position model. The record is from RNAcentral.
GAUGAACGCUGGCGGCGUGCCUAAUACAUGCAAGUCGAGCGAACGGACGAGAAGCUUGCUUCUCUGAUGUUAGCGGCGGACGGGUGAGUAACACGUGGAUAACCUACCUAUAAGACUGGUAUAACUUCGGGAAACCGGAGCUAAUACCGGAUAAUAUUUUGAACCGCAUGGUUCAAAAGUGAAUGACGGUCUUGCUGUCACUUAUAGAUGGAUCCGCGCUGCAUGAGCUAGUUGGUAAGGUAACGGCUUACCAAGGCAACGAUGCAUAGCCGACCUGAGAGGGUGAUCGGCCACACUGGAACUGAGACACGGUCCAGACUCCUACGGGAGGCAGCAGUAGGGAAUCUUCCGCAAUGGGCGAAAGCCUGACGGAGCAACGCCGCGUGAGUGAUGAAGGUCUUCGGAUCGUAAAACUCUGUUAUUAGGGAAGAACAUAUGUGUAAGUAACUGUGCACAUCUUGACGGUACCUAAUCAGAAAGCCACGGCUAACUACGUG